This 1522-nucleotide ribosomal RNA is filed under the name Salibacteraceae bacterium. RNAcentral describes it as "bacterial SSU rRNA". It matches the Rfam family "Bacterial small subunit ribosomal RNA". The record is from RNAcentral. Lineage: Bacteria; Pseudomonadati; Bacteroidota; Flavobacteriia; Flavobacteriales; Salibacteraceae.
ACAACGAAGAGUUUGAUCCUGGCUCAGGAUGAACGCUAGCGGCAGGCUUAACACAUGCAAGUCGAGGGGCAGCACGGGUGCUUGCACUUGGUGGCGACCGGCGGACGGGUGCGUAACGCGUAUGCAACCUACCUUAUACAGGGAGAUAGCCCAGAGAAAUUUGGAUUAAUAUGCCAUAAUAUCAUAAAGCCACAUGGUUUAAUGAUUAAAGAUUUAUCGGUAUAAGAUGGGCAUGCGUAUGAUUAGCUAGUUGGUGAGGUAAUGGCUCACCAAGGCGACGAUCAUUAGGGGGCCUGAGAGGGUGAACCCCCACACUGGUACUGAGACACGGACCAGACUCCUACGGGAGGCAGCAGUGAGGAAUAUUGGGCAAUGGAGGCAACUCUGACCCAGCCAUGCCGCGUGUAGGAAGAAGGCGUUCUGCGUCGUAAACUACUUUUAUAUAGGAAUAAACCUCUCUACGUGUAGAGGGCUGAAUGUACUAUACGAAUAAGCACCGGCUAACUCCGUGCCAGCAGCCGCGGUAAUACGGAGGGUGCAAGCGUUAUCCGGAUUCAUUGGGUUUAAAGGGUCCGUAGGCGGCCAAAUAAGUCAGUGGUGAAAGCCUCCCGCUCAACGGGAGAACUGCCAUUGAAACUGUCUGGCUUGAAUCUAUUUGAAGUGGGCGGAAUACAUCAUGUAGCGGUGAAAUGCAUAGAUAUGAUGUAGAACACCUAUUGCGAAGGCAGCUCACUAAGUUAGCAUUGACGCUGAGGGACGAAAGCGUGGGGAGCGAACAGGAUUAGAUACCCUGGUAGUCCACGCCGUAAACGAUGGUCACUCGCUGCAGGCGAUACACGGUCUGUGGCUGAGCGAAAGCAUUAAGUGACCCACCUGGGGAGUACGUUCGCAAGAAUGAAACUCAAAGGAAUUGACGGGGGCCCGCACAAGCGGUGGAGCAUGUGGUUUAAUUCGAUGAUACGCGAGGAACCUUACCAAGGCUUAAAUGUAGAUUGACAGGGGUGGAAACAUCUUUUUCUUCGGACAAUUUACAAGGUGCUGCAUGGUUGUCGUCAGCUCGUGCUGUGAAGUGUCGGGUUAAGUCCCAUAACGAGCGCAACCCCUAUUUUCAGUUGCCAGCGAGUAAUGUCGGGGACUCUGGAGAAACUGCCACCGUAAGGUGAGAGGAAGGUGGGGAUGACGUCAAAUCAUCACGGCCCUUACGUCUUGGGCUACACACGUGCUACAAUGGUCGGUACAGAGGGCAGCCACCCCGCGAGGGGGCGCGAAUCUCCAAAACCGAUCUCAGUUCGGAUCGAAGUCUGCAACUCGACUUCGUGAAGCUGGAAUCGCUAGUAAUCGGAUAUCAGCCAUGAUCCGGUGAAUACGUUCCCGGGCCUUGUACACACCGCCCGUCAAGCCAUGGAAGCUGGGGGUACCUGAAGUCGGUCACCGUAAGGAGCUGCCUAGGGUAAAACUAGUAACUGGGGCUAAGUCGUAACAAGGUAGCCGUACCGGAAGGUGCGGCUGGAAUACCUCCUUU